GCGGUCUGCUUAACACAUGCAAGUCGAACGGAAUCUUUCGGGAUUUAGUGGCGGACGGGUGAGUAACGCGUGAGAAUCUGCCUUCAGGUUCGGGACAACAGUUGGAAACGGCUGCUAAUACCGGAUGUGCCGAGAGGUGAAAGCUUAAGUGCCUGGAGAUGAGCUCGCGUCUGAUUAGCUAGUAGGAGUGGUAACGGCACCCCUAGGCGACGAUCAGUAGCUGGUCUGAGAGGAUGAUCAGCCACACUGGGACUGAGACACGGCCCAGACUCCUACGGGAGGCAGCAGUGGGGAAUUUUCCGCAAUGGGCGCAAGCCUGACGGAGCAAGACCGCGUGAGGGAAGAAGGUCUGUGGAUUGUAAACCUCUUUUGAUAGGGAAGAAGACAGUGACGGUACCUAUCGAAUCAGCCUCGGCUAACUCCGUGCCAGCAGCCGCGGUAAUACGGAGGAGGCAAGCGUUAUCCGGAAUUAUUGGGCGUAAAGAGUCCGUAGGUGGGUCACCCAGUCAGCUGUUAAAUAGUGAAGCUUAACUUCAUAGAGGCGGCUGAAACUGGUGGUCUAGAGUGUGGUAGGGGUAGAGGGAAUUUCCAGUGUAGCGGUGAAAUGCGUAGAUAUUGGAAAGAACACCGGUGGCGAAAGCGCUCUACUGGGCCUGCACUGACACUGAGGGACGAAAGCUAGGGGAGCGAAAGGGAUUAGAUACCCCUGUAGUCCUAGCCGUAA
This 724-nucleotide ribosomal RNA is filed under the name uncultured cyanobacterium. RNAcentral describes it as "bacterial SSU rRNA". It matches the Rfam family "Bacterial small subunit ribosomal RNA", at positions 39 to 805 of the family's 1533-position model. Lineage: Bacteria; Bacillati; Cyanobacteriota. The record is from RNAcentral.